This 806-nucleotide ribosomal RNA is filed under the name uncultured delta proteobacterium. Its description in RNAcentral is "bacterial SSU rRNA". It matches the Rfam family "Bacterial small subunit ribosomal RNA", at positions 56 to 850 of the family's 1533-position model. Lineage: Bacteria; Deltaproteobacteria. The record is from RNAcentral.
UGCAAGUCGAGCGGUCCAGCACACAAUUUCGGUUGAGUGCUGGGUAGCGGCGGACGGGUGAGUAACGCGUGGGCAACCAACCUUGAUCAGGGGGACAACAUUGGGAAACCAGUGCUAAUACCGCAUAGCUCUACCGGGUGGCAUCAUCGGGUAGAGAAAGAUUCAUCGGAUCAAGACGGGCCCGCGUCUGAUUAGCUGGUUGGUGAGGUAACGGCUCACCAAGGCAAUGAUCAGUAGCCGACCUGAGAGGGUGACCGGCCACACUGGAACUGAGACACGGUCCAGACUUCUACGGGAGGCAGCAGUGGGGAAUAUUGCGCAAUGGGCGAAAGCCUGACGCAGCAACGCCGCGUGAGGGAAGAAGGCCCUCGGGUCGUAAACCUCUGUCAGGAGGGAAGAAUGUCAUGGAUUCGAAUAGGGUCUGUGUUUGACGGUACCUCCAAAGGAAGCACCGGCUAACUCCGUGCCAGCAGCCGCGGUAAUACGGAGGGUGCGAGCGUUAUUCGGAAUUACUGGGCGUAAAGGGCGUGUAGGCGGCCUUGUAAGUCAGGUGUGAAAUCCCACGGCUCAACCGUGGAACUGCACUUGAAACUGCUUGGCUCGAGUACGGGAGAGGGCGGCGGAAUUCCCGGUGUAGGAGUGAAAUCCGUAGAUAUCGGGAGGAACACCAGUGGCGAAGGCGGCCGCCUGGACCGUAACUGACGCUGAGACGCGAAAGCGUGGGGAGCAAACAGGAUUAGAUACCCUGGUAGUCCACGCUGUAAACGAUGGAUGCUAGGUGUCGGCGAGCAAUCGUCGGUGCCGUA